Molecule: unclassified non-coding RNA, 171 nt
Filed under: uncultured Rozellomycota
Lineage: Eukaryota; Fungi; Rozellomycota
Description: uncultured Cryptomycota sequence contains ITS1
Source: RNAcentral
ACAAAUCAGUUGUAGGACCGAAAGGUUCUAUAUACACCCCAAGCCUGUGAUGAGCUGUGGCUCGGAUCGGCUUUGGUUGCAGCCUUUGGGCUGUAGGUCGGGCAGUCGCAAGACGGCCAGGCCACAUAGACGCUUGUAUGUUUGACAGAGUUUAGUUGCAUCUAAAAAAUA